This 439-nucleotide long non-coding RNA is filed under the name Anas platyrhynchos platyrhynchos (common mallard). RNAcentral describes it as "lncRNA (ENSAPLG00000019334.1)". The record is from RNAcentral. Lineage: Eukaryota; Metazoa; Chordata; Aves; Anseriformes; Anatidae.
GUUAAUUUGGUUUAAUUAUGACAUCAAAGUGCAACUGUGGGGCUGAACAAAGACUGUCACAAUGGAGUAUGUUCCAGGCUUGUUGUGCAAAAGGACACGUCUAGGGAAAGGCUGCUGUGUAUGCUUCUUCAGAAUAGAAAGGAAGCUUUUACCUUCAAGUUCCUGUGUCUGCCCUGGCAAGCCAGUUGAGAAGUUCAGCUGCUUAAACUUCAGUGACAGAAUUUAAAGAAAAACUUCCAGGAAAGUAAGUCAACAAUGCAAAGCAGGAAGCAAACUGUGUGCCAUCAGAGAGCAAAGCAGUACAAUACUCAAGGGGUCUGAGUACACUUUCCUCGCAGUUCAGCCAUGAACAUGACUUGCUGGUUUCAGAAUCAUCAACUAGUAGAAAAUACGUUUUAGUGUGUUUGUCUGUUUGUUUUAAAUAAAGAUAUUAAUGAAA